UACGUAGGGUGCAAGCGUUAUCCGGAAUUAUUGGGCGUAAAGAGCUUGUAGGCGGUUUGUCGCGUCUGCUGUGAAAAUCCGGGGCUCAACCCCGGACUUGCAGUGGGUACGGGCAGACUAGAGUGUGGUAGGGGAGACUGGAAUUCCUGGUGUAGCGGUGAAAUGCGCAGAUAUCAGGAGGAACACCGAUGGCGAAGGCAGGUCUCUGGGCCACUACUGACGCUGGAGAAGCGGAAAAGCAUGGGGAGCGAACAGG
This 256-nucleotide ribosomal RNA is filed under the name uncultured bacterium. Its description in RNAcentral is "partial 16S ribosomal RNA". It matches the Rfam family "Bacterial small subunit ribosomal RNA", at positions 524 to 776 of the family's 1533-position model. The record is from RNAcentral.